This 961-nucleotide ribosomal RNA is filed under the name Bacillus subtilis. Its description in RNAcentral is "bacterial SSU rRNA". The stretch from base 1 to 852 matches the Rfam family "Bacterial small subunit ribosomal RNA", at positions 49 to 873 of the family's 1533-position model. Lineage: Bacteria; Bacillati; Bacillota; Bacilli; Caryophanales; Bacillaceae. The record is from RNAcentral.
CUAUACAUGCAAGUCGAGCGGACAGAUGGGAGCUUGCUCCCUGAUGUUAGCGGCGGACGGGUGAGUAACACGUGGGUAACCUGCCUGUAAGACUGGGAUAACUCCGGGAAACCGGGGCUAAUACCGGAUGCUUGUUUGAACCGCAUGGGUUCAAACAUAAAAGGUGGCUUCGGCUACCACUUACAGAUGGACCCGCGGCGCAUUAGCUAGUUGGUGAGGUAAUGGCUCACCAAGGCAACGAUGCGUAGCCGACCUGAGAGGGUGAUCGGCCACACUGGGACUGAGACACGGCCCAGACUCCUACGGGAGGCAGCAGUAGGGAAUCUUCCGCAAUGGACGAAAGUCUGACGGAGCAACGCCGCGUGAGUGAUGAAGGUUUUCGGAUCGUAAAGCUCUGUUGUUAGGGAAGAACAAGUACCGUUCGAAUAGGGCGGUACCUUGACGGUACCUAACCAGAAAGCCACGGCUAACUACGUGCCAGCAGCCGCGGUAAUACGUAGGUGGCAAGCGUUGUCCGGAAUUAUUGGGCGUAAAGGGCUCGCAGGCGGUUUCUUAAGUCUGAUGUGAAAGCCCCCGGCUCAACCGGGGAGGGUCAUUGGAAACUGGGGAACUUGAGUGCAGAAGAGGAGAGUGGAAUUCCACGUGUAGCGGUGAAAUGCGUAGAGAUGUGGAGGAACACCAGUGGCGAAGGCGACUCUCUGGUCUGUAACUGACGCUGAGGAGCGAAAGCGUGGGGAGCGAACAGGAUUAGAUACCCUGGUAAGUCCACGCCGUAAACGAUGAGUGCUAAGGUGUUAGGGGGGUUCCCGCCCCCUUAGUUGCUGCGGGUUAACGCAUUUAAGGACCUCCGCCUUGGGGAGUAUCGGGUCGCAAGGACUGGAACCCCCGAAAGGAAUUUGGCUGGGGGGCCUCGCCACAACCCGGGCGGAACCAAGGGGGGGUGAAAGUCCGAGACGCAAAG